AGCAGACCAGUUCUUAUACAAUGCCCAAAUCUGACCUUUUCUAGGCAAAAUGGUAUAUUCAUUUUUCUUGCCGGCAGGUUCUGCACUUACUUUGUGAGAGAAGGAUUCAGCAGAUGUAUAAGAUUGUGAUUUACGCAUGUUAGUCCUAAAUCUUCCACAACAAAUGAUCAUAUCCUUAUCAUGCCAUUGGAUCACAUCAUUUCGCAAUGCACAAGGUUCAAGCCACCUAAGCCACAAUCUGAAACCUUGGUCAGAAGCAACUUUUGUGAUCUGACCAUAGUACUUUGGCAAGCAAUCCUCAUCACUGUACAAUGACCAGAUCUGACCAACCUGAAACUUUUCAAUGGAUUUCUCAGCUUCAAAGUUGAAGAAUUCUGCUUCUGGAACUUCCAUACAUUCUGGGGUUGAAGCUGGAGGAGUAUCACAGACAUUGGCAAGUUCAGGUUCUAGAUAAGCACCCUUCAGACCAGCCCCCUGCUUAGUGCUUGCUUCAGACUCCACUCCAGGUUUCACUUUAUGUGAAGAUUUUGAACACGGAUCCCUGGGAUGACUAUUACCAGCGUCAACUACCAUAUAUUCAGGGACGACAAUCUCUUCAAUAUUUUUAGGCAAAGAAGCUGGAUCAAGUUCAAAAGAUCCCUUUGGCACACCUUGUCCUUCCUCACCCGUCAAUUUAAAUGAUGGAAUCAUGUGGGAAAAGCGGAAUAGUUCACCUGGUGGAAUUUGAAAUGUGUCAUUCCCUUCUUUACUAGUACGACAGAAAAGACUCGUAAAGGCCUUCAACUUGCCUAAAUACGCAACGCAUGCACCGCCAUCCUCCGUAUACUCUGACAAUAUUUCAACAAAUUCAUAUUCAAACUUCUGGCUAGGGUCUGCAUUAAAUUUCCAUUUAAUAUCCCAGUUCUUGAAGACAGCCCAAAUUUCCCCUUUUCUUGGAAAUAUCUUGUAAGUGUCCCUUUGGCGGCAUUGUUCCCAGUUAAUCAUAUGGGAAAACAUAAGUCGAUCUUCAGUAAUUUCGGAGCCUCCACCUCUAAACUUACCACAAGCAGCUGGCAAGUCCUCACUGACCCAUCGAAUUUCAUCCUCAUCACCUGGGUCUGGCUCCAACCAGCUUAUCCGCAGUUUGAACCCAGGAGACAAAACUUUCCUAAUUCGAACAUAAAACCUAGGCAUGGCAUCCAAGGUAUCAUAAACAGCCCAGAUCUGCCCUAUCGAAAAACACUUUUCAUUCCGAACUUCAUUAAAAUCAUUGAAAUCUGGAUCAGGAUACUCAUACAGCUCUGGGUCUGUUGUGUA
This 1296-nucleotide unclassified non-coding RNA is filed under the name Hevea brasiliensis (rubber tree). The record is from RNAcentral. Lineage: Eukaryota; Viridiplantae; Streptophyta; Magnoliopsida; Malpighiales; Euphorbiaceae.